This 381-nucleotide ribosomal RNA is filed under the name Triticum aestivum (bread wheat). RNAcentral's name for it is "partial small subunit ribosomal RNA". The record is from RNAcentral. Lineage: Eukaryota; Viridiplantae; Streptophyta; Magnoliopsida; Poales; Poaceae.
AUGCAGGAGGGGUCAGAUCUUAUGGAGCAUGUGAAUGCCUUUAAUCAGUUGGUCACGGAUCUAGCGCGUCUGGAUGUGAAGAUUGAGGACGAGGAUAAGGCACUACUUCUUCUUGUUUCAUUGCCACCGUCCUAUGAGCAUUUGGUCAUUACAUUGACACAUGGAAAGACAACCGUCAAUAAUGAGGAAGUCACUACAGCGUUGCUUGGACAUGAGUUGAGUAAGCAAAAGAAUGCUACGGAGGAGAGUACUCAAGGUUUGGGGUUGGUAGUUAAAGGUUAUCAGCUCAGAAAGGGACAAGAGGCGGAGAAGAAAAAGAAGAAGAAGGUGCAGUGCUACAGGUGCAAGGAUUGGGGACAUAUAAAGAGGGAAUGCCCAGAA